GCCAGACGAAAUGGAUCGAUUAUCACCUAACUUUUGCCAAAAAUAACCAGUUUCAUCCCCAGAUUUUUGGGGCUCCAAAGAAAAAUAACUAAUAGAUUGUUAAACACUCGUACGAGUUGGUGAGUGCAUCUUUGAAUCAUUCCUGGCAUGGCAUUUUUUCAACAUCGUUCUUCUGGCAGUGGCAUGUCGUCUUUGGAUUUUGGAUGUCCUUCUUUGGAUGUGGUUGACGUUUAAUCGUUGUCUUGAAAAAGCCGAAGGAGAAUCGAACCGGGAUCUUUCUCAUAGUGGGUACCGCACUACCCACUACACGACAUCUCCUCCCUUAUUUGAUUUGAACUUUCUCAAUAAUAUUUCAUCAUGCAUGUUUAUCUUAUCAAUCGUUUCAAUUAAAGUUCUAAUUCGCUUA
This is a long non-coding RNA of Tigriopus californicus, 406 nucleotides long. RefSeq lists it as uncharacterized. The transcript is spliced from 2 exons. Lineage: Eukaryota; Metazoa; Arthropoda; Copepoda; Harpacticoida; Harpacticidae. The record is from RefSeq and is a predicted model, not a curated record.